Molecule: transfer RNA, 73 nt
Filed under: Saccoglossus kowalevskii
Lineage: Eukaryota; Metazoa; Hemichordata; Enteropneusta; Harrimaniidae
Description: tRNA-Met
Rfam family: tRNA
About the family: Transfer RNA (tRNA) molecules are approximately 80 nucleotides in length.
Source: RNAcentral
GCCUUGUUAGCGCAGUAGGCAGCGCGUCAGUCUCAUAAUCUGAAGAUCGUGAGUUCGAUCCUCACACGAGGCA